Long non-coding RNA from Grammomys surdaster, 802 nucleotides. RefSeq lists it as uncharacterized. The record is from RefSeq and is a predicted model, not a curated record. The transcript is spliced from 4 exons. NCBI's taxonomy places the organism in Eukaryota, Metazoa, Chordata, Mammalia, Rodentia, Muridae.
CUCAAGGCUGGAGAGGAGAGGUCCGCAUAGGUGGCCGGCCUGUGGUGGGCUACUGAAGAAGAACAUAGGGCAGGAAUCGGCUCCUGGCAGCGGAGGUUGGAAGACUGGGCAAGGAAACAUGGUUUUGGGGCCAGACUCUAAUGCAAAGCUAUGUGGGGUUGGACUGGCUCUGGGGGAAAGCUGUUGGCAGUGCAGGUGGCUGGCGACAAGGAUGGCCUGGCAACAGGAUGGCGACGCAGAAGCCUGAACCCUCAGCAGAGCUGCAGUCCUGGCUGCUCUGAGGGUCAGGACUACUUGGCCUAAGAUCUGAAGAGACCCCAAGGCAGAAGCCAUUUCUUGCCCACCCCAAAUGAUGGUGACGCCAGCUUCCCAUCAGAUCUGGUGAUGAUCUGCCUCAGGUUCAAAAGCAAGCCAAAAGGACACACACACACACACAGCCCUGCAGUGGCUCCUGCUGGUUUCUCCAACCCUGGAUCCGACAGACCAACAGCACAGACUCUUCUCCCCCUGGCCUUGCUAGCCGAGUGUUAGCAAGGAUAACGACACACCCAGGUAUCAGAUGGAAGUCUAGCAACUCAGCACAGGAGGGAGAGGAGAGGUGAUGGGGGGAAGAUGACAUGAACUAGCUUUCAAUAUGGGGAGUGUGUUUUUGUUCUGGAGUGUGUGUUGUAUACAUGUAUGCACGUUUAUGUGAAGGAUAUGUGGACAUACUUGAGUCAGUGUAUGUGGAGGCCAAAGCCUAAUGUUAAAUUCUCACUCUGUGACUCUACUUUGUUUAUUAAAUUGUUAUUUAUUUAAUGUA